This 542-nucleotide ribosomal RNA is filed under the name uncultured bacterium. Its description in RNAcentral is "bacterial SSU rRNA". It matches the Rfam family "Bacterial small subunit ribosomal RNA", at positions 777 to 1320 of the family's 1533-position model. The record is from RNAcentral.
AAUAGAUACCCGGGUAGUCCACGCCGUAAACGAUGGGUACUAGGUGUGGGAGGUGUCGACUCCUCCCGUGCCGUCGCUAACGCACUAAGUACCCCGCCUGGGGAGUACGGCCGCAAGGCUAAAACUCAAAGGAAUUGACGGGGGGCCCGCACAAGCAGCGGAGCAUGUGGUUUAAUUCGACGCAACGCGAAGAACCUUACCUGGGCUUGACAUGUUGGUGACCGCCGUGGAAACACGGUUUUCCUUCGGGACACCAUCACAGGUGGUGCAUGGCUGUCGUCAGCUCGUGUCGUGAGAUGUUGGGUUAAGUCCCGCAACGAGCGCAACCCCGUUCCAUGUUGCCAGCAUUUAGUUGGGGACUCAUGGGAGACUGCCGGUGACAAACCGGAGGAAGGUGGGGAUGACGUCAAGUCAUCAUGCCCCUUAUGUCCAGGGCUACACACGUGCUACAUUGGCGCAUACAAAGGGCAGCAAUACCGCGAGGUGGAGCAAAUCCCAUAAAGUGCGCCUCGGUUCGGAUUGGAGGCUGAAACUCGCCUCCA